Molecule: long non-coding RNA, 3790 nt
Organism: Gasterosteus aculeatus aculeatus (three-spined stickleback)
Lineage: Eukaryota; Metazoa; Chordata; Actinopteri; Perciformes; Gasterosteidae
Source: Ensembl
UAAAGUCUUUUUGUUGAAGAACUCUGCAUUUGAGUCCUGCCUUUCCACGCAUCCCGUGACACUCAUCCUCAGAGGACCUGAGGUAAAACUAUGGCCCCUUCGCUUUUAAAGGAGCUAUUUUGGGAGUUACGGAUAUCAGACUAGGUAGCCCUAGGGAUACUUUUCUCUGGAGGUAUCUGAGGAACAUUGAACUGGCAGUUGGCCCUGUGAGAGCUUGACCUAUAACGGGCUUUUACACCCCCAAUUUCCAUUGUGUAAUUUACACACCAGCUCAAACGUUUGGCUGGUUAAAGCCAUUACCUGGAUAAGUGUGUAGCAGUAUGGAAAUAGGAUUGUCCUGCUACAGUUAACUGCGCCUGCCGACCACUAGGGCGGCGGUAGUAUAUAAAGGCUGCCCCCCUUCUCGCGCCCCACUGAUGCAUCAUUUCCGGGUCAGGUGUCUGUCCGCGCAGAGUAGCGACAGAGGACUCCGUGCCCCUUUUUGCUCUUGGGUCCUCUCCGUGUUAGACCGAACGAUAUUCUGUAGCUAACGUUAUUGUGGUCACAGGUAGAUGUCUUCCUGCCGUGUGGGUCUUUCUCUCCCUCCCUCUCCCUGUGCAGGUUUGACCUGGGAAACAGGGAAUGCUCAUCAGCUGGCCGAAAUCCACAGGUGGUGAUUGAUGUGACAACACUCAGUUGAUUGGGGCCACUGCUGCUUUGCCUGCAACUUUGGCUGCUGCUACAUGUAACCUUGUCUGUAACUGUCUGCCCUGUUAAAAGCUGUUAAGUGCAGUUUGGUCUCCGCCGCGACGUACCUAGCAUGUCUAUUGCCGGCACCAGACUUGGACCUGUGUAGUUGUUGAUUCUAGCUCGACUGAGUAGUUAAUCCUUUAGUUUGUAUUUCUUUUGGUUUGUUUCACUUAUUUUCUUUUUGUUUGGGUUACGUGAAUUGUUUCAUUAGGAUGAUUUUUAUGUGAAUUAUUUUCUUUUUCUGUUUUGUGUUGUAAAUUUUUGGUUUAAUCCUCUUGUAACCUUUUUUUGUCAUCCUUCCUAGCGGCUGUAGGCUGGUGGUGGCGCCGGUGGUGUGGGUGGUGGUGGUCUUCCUCGUGUGUCGUGUCCCAUUGGAUUGUUGUGCUAUCACUGGGUGAACUCUGGUUUGGUUUUCUCUAAGUUUGUUCUAUUAAUUUUCCUUCCCCUUCAUCGGCGCUUCUCACCAUUAGGCCUUAGCGAUUAGUUUCCUUUUCUCAUUUUUGUGAUGAAAUGUUAGAUUUUACGGCAAUGUAUAUUUAUUGAAUAAAAAUGUUUUUGUAAACUGGGAACCACGAGCCCUUGCCUAUUGGGUGGAACGAACCUGUGUGCUUUAAAAGGUCUUGGGCCUAUCCCAAGUGGCGUUGCCGGUAGGAUAGGAAACCAUUACACCACAAGCGCAUGGGUGAAUAACAAAUGGGACCUUAACACAGUACCUCAAGUCCAAUAACCAACUGUGACACAGAAAGAAUACAUGUAAAAAAAGACUAAUCUAAACCCGUUUUGGAAAACUGAUUGCAAUGACAAACAAAGUGUUAAAAGGAAGAAGUGAAAUUGUUGGUCAGCACUGAGUCUUGGUCACAUAUGAUAGUAAUAUACACACUAAUGAGAACAAACAGUUUUGUGGAUUCUAGUCCCUGCAGGGUUCUUUUUAAGCCUAAGCUUUACAUCCGCUGCACCUACACUUCCCCAUAAAACCUCCCUCUCAUGCCAGUGAUGAGAUGCUGAAGCUGUAUUCUGGUCACUGCACCGUUAAAGGCAGACAUACCGGCUUAUAACAUUUCCAGCAGUGUGUUUGUGCUUGCAGAAGUGGACCCCGCUUGCAGAUAACAAGCUGUGGUGGAACAACUGAAUCGUAGAUGUCUGCUGUACUGCGUGAUAUGGAUCGGUCUGGAAGCACCACCGUGCCCGGCCUACUCCCAACCGAGCCACAUGCAGCUUAUCACAAAUAAUGCGCUGCCUGUCAUGUCAAGCAUUCUAUUUGUUUUUUUUAUCAAAUCUGACACUUGAGAUGGCGGAAAAUGUAGCGUACAGUACAUGGCCCGUCUUCUCAGAGUGUGUUCAUGUUAAUCAAACCUAAUGAAUAAAUGGAUAUAUAGAUUACGCAUCAUUACACCUGCCCUGCAGUAAUGUUUUUAUCAGCCCCAGGGCAGCUGCAUCUUUUAUUGACUGCUCACACUGGAGCUCCCUCAAAGAUGUUUAAUUAUCAGUUUCAUCAUGAACACAAUCUAUACAUUUGUUCAAUUGUAUACCCAUCCUCUCCCUCCCUUUUUAAUGUGUGUUCGGGUUGGUGAAACUGCUGCGGUUGUUCCUGUGGAUAGAUACAGCAGGUGGGUGAACAGAACACACAGAUACACAAGUAAAUCACUGCCCCUCUGACACUGUUGAGUAACUACCAAUGUUGCUUUGCCUCUUGGUGCUACUCUGCAAGGUCAGAGGAUAACACCUUGUUUAUCUCUCUCUCCCAAAGAUACAUCUCAAGAGAAAACACACAUAUUGCUGCACAGAGUAUCAUUUUGUUUCUAUCUGGUAUGCAAAUGUUGGUAAACUGCACAAUUAUUCUGACUUCUUUCUGAAACACACACACACACACACAAUUCUGUACCGUGGUACCAGAUGGCAUGGUUUAAAACCGACGUGUGGCAAACCGAACCAUUCCUGCACUUUAUUACCACGGGAAACUGUCACCACACAUACACACAAUUACUUUGUAUGGUUUAUGAUAGUGGUGAGUCACCAUGAGUACUAAAUAUGAGGACAAUUGUCUCCCUCAGGAAGAAACAGGUCACAGGUCACACAUUUAUUAUUUAUUCAUUACAUAUUAGUAAGGGACAAGUACAGGGGAGCAUUGUCCGUUAUACCGUUCAGGUGUAGAAAGCCGAUGUCUCCUAUUUUCUAUGUCUGUCUGAUGCGUGUGGCUAACUGAUUGCUGCUCAUCCACACACCUGCCUAAUGUACCUCUCUUUAUUAAGAAUUUUAGCUAUGAAAAGUAUUGAAUGACGUUACUGAGGCUCAUUGCAGCCUGAGAUAACAAUAGGCCCUUAAAUAUUUCAAAGAAACUCAGCUGUAACUGGUUACUUUUACUUCACAUGAAAACAUUGUAGUACUAUGUGUGAGAGGGACGGGUUACAUUGCAGAUGUAGAAUUGACUUGAUUUGGUGCCUUUAUUAUUCAUUAAACCCUCCAGCAUCAAUUCAAAAUGGGAAGCUCCGACUUAAAGAAACAUGAAUAAUCAGAUUUAAGUAAAUUAUGCUAAAGUUGCCUCUUUCUUUUUUCACUCGAAGUAAGCAUUUUAAUGCCGGACUUUUACCGUGCUGUGUUUUUAGUUUUAUGAAUGAUUUGAUCUAAAAAAAAACGUUUUCAUCAGGUAGGCAUCCAAAUCCACCAUUAAAAACUAACAGAGACAAUUACUGAAUGUAAAAUGUGUAUUAAAAAUGGAGAUGAAUAAUUAUAAAAAAAAUCCUUGUUUGUUUGUAAUAUUUUACAAUAGAAAUGAUGAUAUAAAAACAUGAGAGGGGUUGACCGUAGGGACACCAACAGAGAAUUAGCACUUGAAUCUGGUUUCUUCUUCCCCCAGGUGGCCAAAAAAUAAUUAAAUGCUGGUUUAAGAAGUAAAACUUUUCCAAUCAUAACAUUAUUACUUUCAGAAAUGUAGUCAUCCGUUGGUUGUACUGCAGGUGUGAAGUAAUUGGUUCCCAUUGUUUUUAAAAAUUAAAUUCUUCGUGCAGUGACAAACUGCUGCACUAAUGAAUAUAAUCCAUCAUUUUAUUAUAAAAACAUCGUC